GGUAAUAGGAAGAGCUAUAGAGUUUGCAGAUGUCAACUGUGGCCUUAAAGAGCAUGUUGGUAGCAUCAAUGCCAGACAGAUGGCACAUGUGGCUGGUGGCUGCCAUAUUGACAGUGCCGUUCUGGAAGAUGGAGAGAACUAUGACACAAUAAGUUUAAUUAAAAGGUCCUAUUACUGCUGGAUUGUGCAAGAUAUUUAACCGUGUUUUCUUUGAGGUAUGACUUAAAUAUCAAACAUCUUAAAUAAGAAAAGGGAAACAUUUUAGUUUUGGAAGUCAGAAUGCCAAGGAGAAGGAAAAAUCUUGGGGGAAAUCCUUUUCGGAAGACCGCAAGCUCUAAGGAAGUUGUCGUAUCCAGUGUUGCUAGUCAUGAGGAGCCAACCACUACUCUUCCUUCCAUGUGUGAGACAAAAGUUGAUCAGGAAGAACUCUUCACCAGUAUCUCAGAGAUGUUUUCUGAUCUGGAUCCCGAUGUAGUGUAUUUGAUGCUUUCUGAAUGUGAUUUCAAAGUUGAAAAUGCAAUGGAUUGUCUAUUAGAAUUAUCUGCCUCUGAUGCCAAGGUAGAAGAAUCAUCUUCAAAAAGCUUCAUUGCUUCUGAGAGCCAAGUAAGUGCUGUGGGACGUGAAAUAAUGGAAAAGUAUCCUCCUGAAGAAGAGAGUGAAGAUUCAAAAAUGGAUUCAUUUUUGGACAUGCAGCUAACCGAAGACUUGGAUUCCUUAAUACAGAAUGCUUUUGAGAAAUUGAACUCUUCUGAUGACCAAGUAUACUCAUUUUUGCCUUUGCAAAGUGUUAAUAGUUUUAGUGACCCGAGUGCAUUUGUAAAUUCAGAUGCAAGUAGCAUGACUCCCAUUCUUUCUACAGAAAAUGUGGAUUUGAACAGUGAAAAUGUAGAGAAUUCUGCCUCUGCAUUAAGUUCAAACACCGUAACUUCACAUUCUGUUUCAGAUGAGUCCAAAAGUUUUAUAAAGGAUGACACAUUGGCAUUGGAAGAUUCUCUUCUCAGUGGUUCUUUAAAUGUAGCAAGUGACAGUAUGGUGGGUGGUAGCAAUCGUGGUCAAAGACCUAAAGAGCUUUUAGAAACUGAGUAUGUUGAGACUCCGUUCUCUCAAGCCCCUGUAGAUUUGGAUGACAGUGAACCUCAGGCUUUAAGCCUUACUGUGCAAAAUCUGGGGCUUGAUUUACUAGGUACAGGUGGGGAUCAGAAAUCUGCUUCUGUCCCUGAUAUGUUCCUACCUUCCGAAGAGUUCAAUUUCAAACCGCACAAACAUACUGAACUGCCGUCAAAGGGGAAAGAUGUGAAUUACUGCCCAGUACUUACCCCUCUCCCUCUACUGCUGCCUCCUCCUCCACCUCCACCAAUGUGGAAUCCAAUGAUUCCUGCUUUUGACCUCUUUCAAGGAAAUCAUGGCUUUGUAGCUCCUGUCGUAACCACCGCUACACACUGGAGACCUGUCAACUACACUUUUCCCCCUCCGGUUAUUUCGCACACUUCCCCGACAAAGGUAUGGAGAAAUAAAGAGGGAGCAAGUGCUUAUCAAGUACAAGAAACCCCAGUUUCUCAGGUUGUAAGAAAGAAGACAUCAUCUUAUGUUGGACUAGUUCUUGUUCUUCUCAGAGGGCUUCCAGGAUCAGGAAAGUCUUUUUUGGCAAGGACUUUGCAAGAGGAUAAUCCUAGUGGAGUCAUUCUUAGUACUGAUGAUUAUUUUUACAUAAAUGGACAGUACCAGUUUGAUGUAAAAUACUUAGGAGAAGCACAUGAAUGGAACCAGAAUCGUGCAAAAGAAGCAUUUGAGAAGAAGGUGUCUCCUAUAAUAAUAGACAAUACAAACCUACAGGCAUGGGAAAUGAAGCCAUAUGUUUCUUUGUCUCAAAAACAUAAAUAUAAAGUUCUUUUCCGGGAACCGGACACAUGGUGGAAGUUCAAACCAAAGGAACUUGCAAGGCGUAAUAUUCAUGGGGUAAGCAAAGAAAAAAUAACAAGAAUGUUGGAACACUAUCAGCGUUUUGUUUCAGUGCCAAUAAUCAUGAGUUCUUCAGUUCCAGAGAAAAUUGAACGUAUUGAGUUGUGUGCAUAUUCUUGUGAGGACAGAAGUACUAGCCCAAGAGACAAUGAAGAUAUUACCUCUGAAAAAGAAGAAAAUGUUUUAUCCUCAUCUUUGAAGCAUCUAGAGUUAACUGAAGUGAAGAAACUUGAAGGGACCAAAGAAACUAUAUUACCUGAGAAUGUUACAUAUCUGUCUAAUGCAGAUUUAAACAAAGGAAGAAGAGAAAUAAGUGGUAUGAAUCCUAACAUUCAGAGUGCUUUCAUUCAGGAAGUUUCAGACAUGUAUUUUUCUGAUUCUGAAAGCAAAGGACAAGCAACAGAAAAAAGUGAGAAAGAAGAGCAAGUAGAAAUGGCUUCUGAAAAAGAAUAUAGUAAAACUGAUGCUGAUAGUUUUGUAGAGAGAGUGUCACCAAGUAUUUGCUAUGGUGAAAAUAAUCAAGACUAUGAUCUUUCAAAUACUAUACCAUUUCAAAAUGAAAAAUCUUCACCUGGUGAAAUAUUGGAAGAAAGAGCCAUGGUAAAGAAAAAAGCCUUUGGAAAACCAAAAAGCAAAUCAACUUUGGAAAAGUUCCCAAGACAUGAGCUAUCAAAUUUUGUUGGUGAUUGGCCAGUUGAUAAGACUAUUGGUCAGAGGACAAAAAGGAACCGAAAAACUGAAAAAACUUCAUCUGUACAAAGUGACAAAAAGUAUAAUCGUCCUCAGACACGCAAAGUAUUAGAUAAUAGUCUAUCUGUGAAUAUUGAUCACAUCCAGCAGCGAGAAUCUCCACCUGAAAGUACAGAGGAGGACAAGAAAUCACAGUAUGAUGAUGCUUCAGAAUCUUUCAGUCACUCUCAGUUUGAUCUGUAUAAAAAUACUGAAAAACAAUCAUUCAGCAUUGUGGGUGACUGGCCUUCAUCUGAUUCUUUAGCUCAGAGAGAGCACAGAUCAAGAAUGCCAAAAGACAGCUUAAAGGAACCCAACCUAGAAUUUGGAACUAAUGACAGUUUGAAUGAAACAGCCUUCUACACAGCACAUGAGGCCUGUUGGGGCACAAGCCCUGAAGAACUAAAAACACUGGGUAGUUCCAGUUCUACUCUAGGAAGUUCUGAAUCGCUAUCCAGUGAAAUGGCCUGUGAGAAUAAAACUUGUCCAAGUAAAAAGAUUCAUAGACAAAACACAUUGUCUCUUACUUUUACCAAUAGUGGGCCAACUAUUCCUGGAGUAGUAGGACCACAAACUUUAGCAGAAUUUCCAGACGGAAAACUUAAGAAAGUCCCUGGAAUAGAAGAAGACAUGUGUACCCAGACUGAACCACAGGAUUUUGCUCUCUUAUGGAAAAUAGAAAAGAAUAAAAUUAGUCUUUCAGAUUCUGUGAGAGUAUUAACCGGACGAUUAGAUGGAUUUAAACCAAAAGCUUUCAAUAUUAACACAAAAUUAGACAUUCAGGAAACAAUUCCAUACAGGGUAAUGUAUGAUAAAAGCACAUAUGUUGAAGAAAGUGAGCUCACCAGUGCUGAUGAAUCUGAAAAUCUUAACAUUCUUUGUAAACUCUUUGGGUCCGUUUCAUUAGAAGCCCUAAAAGACUUAUAUGAGAGGUGUAACAGAGAUAUUAUUUGGGCUACAAGCCUUUUGUUGGACUCUGAAACUAAAUUAUGUGAGGAUACUGAAUUUGAGAAUAUCCAAAAAUCAUACGACGAAGCACAAAUUGGGCCGUUUUCUCUGGGAUUAAAUUUGAAGGAAAUUAUUAGCCAAAGAGGAACCUUGGAGGAUUCUAUUUCUUCUGUGCCAGAAUUUGGCCAUGGCACUGUCGUCAGUAACACUAAUGUGCAGUCUACCUGUGAUUCAGAAAAGGGAGACUCAGAGCAGGCAGAAAUAAGAGCUAUCACUACUGAAAAACCAGGAUUCAUAACAGAUUUAUUUCCUAAUGCCACUACAGAUCUAAAGAAUACUAAUGAAGUACUUCCUGGUAGUCAGGCAGAACUUCCAGGUUUAUAUAACAUUAAGCAGCCUUUUCCAGGGACUCUAAAAGCUACUACUGCUAAAGAUGUGAGGGACAUGGAGAAGAACCUAGAAGUCACAGAGAUUGGAGACAGUAUACAUUCUUCUUUGAAUUUGUCUGAUGUUUUAAACUCUGUAUCGAGCACUUCAAAUCUGGAGUUAAAUGAAGAAGUUGAUUUUACUGACUCGUUUGAAAUAAAGAAAAAUGAAAAUCUUCCUAAGACUUAUGUGAAAUUUCCAAACACUGAAGAAUUUAUGAAUGAAGAUGAACAGGAAAUGGAAAAAAUUCUAAUGGCUGAGAGUACUUUGUCAGCUGGAGUUAGUGAAGAAGAUAAAACGGAGAUGUUGAAUCCCAUGCCAAUGAUGGCCAAAUCUCUGACCAUAGACUGUUUGGAAUUGGCAUUACCUCCUGAGCUGGCUUUUCAGCUCAAUGAAUUAUUUGGCCCUGUUGGUAUUGAUUCAGGGUCUCUAACAGUUGAGGAUUGUGUGGUUCAUAUAGAUCUGAAUCUGGCUAAAGUGAUUCAUGAGAAAUGGAAAGAAUCUGUAAUGGAGCGACAAAGACAAGAAGAAGUAUCCUCUGGCAAGUUUAUGCGAGAUCCUUCCCUGGUUGGGAGUAUUGGUCUUGAUAAUCCUGAACAAAAGUCAUCUCAGAGAACAGGCAAAAAAUUACUGAAGACUUUAGCAGCACCUGAAAUGCUACCCUUAUUGGAUCAUUGGAACACUCAAACUAAAAAAGUGUCACUCAGAGAAAUAAUGUCAGAAGAAAUUGCCUUACAGGAAAAACAUGAUUUGAAAAGGGAGGCACUUAUGUUUGAAAAAGAUUGUGCCACUAAACUAAAGGAGAAGCAGCUUUUUAAGAUAUUUCCAGCUAUUAACCAAAAUUUUCUGGUGGACAUUUUCAAGGACCACAACUAUUCAUUAGAACACACAGUCCAGUUUCUAAACUGUGUUCUUGAAGGAGACCCUGUGAAAACAGUUGUAGCGCAAGAGUUUGUUCAUCAAAAUGAGAAUGUCACUUCUCAUGCUACACAGAAGUCUAAGGAGAAAAAGGCCAAGAAAUCAAAAGAGACUGAAGAUAUACCAAGUGAACCAUCUUUCCAGGAUUUUGAGUAUCCAGAGUAUAAUGACUACAGGGCAGAGGCUUUCCUUCAUCAGCAGAAGAGAAUGGAAUGCUACAGCAAAGCAAAAGAAGCUUAUCGGAUGGGGAAAAAACACGUUGCCACGUUUUAUGCCCAGCAGGGUAGUCUCCAUGAGCAGAAGAUGAAAGAAGCCAAUCACCUUGCUGCCGUGGAGAUCUUUGAGAAAGUCAAUGCCUCCUUGCUGCCACAGAAUGUUUUAGACCUCCAUGGGCUGCAUGUGGAUGAAGCUAUAGAACAUUUGAUGACAGUUUUACAGCAGAAAACUGAAGAAUUUAAGCAGAAUGGUGGUAAGUCCUAUCUCUCUGUGAUUACGGGGAGAGGAAACCACAGCCAAGGAGGAGUUGCUCGCAUCAAACCAGCCGUCAUUAAAUACCUCACAAGCCAUAGCUUCAGUGACCUGAAAUGGCCUGCUUCUUCAGAUGGAGCCCCUAGUAGCAAAGAAAUGACCUCAGGACCUCCCAGAAGAAACUUGAUGCUUCUAGUGCCCCACCUGUCUCUUUUGUUGUGCCCAUAACUAUUUUUCCUGAUAAGCAAGGCCAACUGGUGUCAAGUCUCAGCUGGAUGACAUGAUGUUCUUUUUUUUUUUUUUUUAAUCUACGGACCAAAUUGCACUUUAUAAAUAAGUACAAACAUUCACACAGAUGUUUCGAGCUUGUUCUGUCCAUGAAUGUUGCAUCAGUAGUAAAGUGAAUGGAAUUCACAAUUUUGCUUAGUUGACUCAACAUUUAUCAUUUGAGCAGUGGAUAUUUCUAAGACAAGAAGUUAAUUGGUAAGGAAGAUGGAAUGUUAGUCUGAAUCUGGCUUCCCAAAGCUCUGGCCAAAUUAUUCCAGAUUUGCUAACAGAUCAAAUGUAACAUUUUUUUGUUGAAAUAAACACCAGUUUAAGGAAUAUGCUACUUUCUGGUGAGGUUAAGGAGGUCCCCAGCUGAUUUUUUUCAACCAUUUUUAAUGUGUGAAUGGAAUCUUUUUUUUUUUUUUAAAUUUUUAUUUUAGAGAGAGAGCAUAAGCAGGGGAGAGGGGGAGAGAGAGAAUCCUAAGCAGGCUCCGUGCUCAGUGUGGAGCUGGAAGUGGGGCUUGAUCCCAUGGUCUUGGGAUCAUGACCCAAGCCGAAGUCAAGAGUUGGAGGCUCACCGACUGAACCACCUACGUGCCCUAAUGUGUGCAUAGAAUCUUAAAACAAAAAGGAAAACGGAAAACAUGAAAUUACAUUCAUCUAAAGCCAAAUCUACACACAAACUGGGCAUUUGUGCAAACAAAAUUUUAAACUGCUCUAUGUAAUUAAAAUACCACUGGUCAUUUUAUUUUCAACCCAUAACAUGCCCUGAAUUCCUUGUGUUUGUUAUUUGUUCCUGUACAAUCCAUUUUAUUCAUUUAAGAGAGCCACCUGAUCAAAUUAUGAACUGAUAAGCCCUAUCAAUUCUAGUUUUGUGUAAUUUUCAGAAGACAGUAAUGUGCCUCUUCUAUAAAUCAGUAUAUAUCUGUUAACAGCUUCCAGAACUGUAUUCAGUAGUGCAUAUGGAGCCAUUUUUACACUUGUCCUUCACAUUGUCAGUACCAUUAUUCAAUAGUGGCUGAAAUUCCUCUGGCCUACUUGUAUAGUGGUAAUAGCUAAUAAAAAUAGCAUCUAAAAAUGACUAUGUCUAGCAUUCAUGCCUAUACACUAAGAGGAAAUGAGAGGCAUCUUAGAAAAAAAAGACAAAGGAAACAACCAUUCUUUAAGAGCACAAGGCACAGGGAGAGGGUGAAGGAAAAUAUUUCAGGUAUUUUUUGGGGGGGAUGAGAAUAAUGAUGACUUUUGAAAAUCAGUCUUCUUGGGGCGCCUGGGUGGCUCAGUCAGUUGAGUGUCCGACUUCAGCUCAGGUCAUGAUCUCGUGGUCUGUAAGUUUGAGCCCCGCGUCGGGCUCAGAGCCUGGAGCCUGCUUCGGAUGCUGUGUCUCCCUGUCUCUCUGCCCUUCCCCCGUUCACGCUCUGUCUCUCUCUCUGUCAAAAAUAAAUAAACAUUAAAAAAAAAUUAAAAAAAAAAAAGAAAAUCUGUCUUCUUCAGUAAGCCAUGUGAAAUUCAGGCAAAUAGGCUGGGAGAUUGGCAUAUCCGCCUGGAAUGGGAGACCUUCCUAAUAACCAACAUUUAAAUGACAUAGCUGUAUACUGUAGAUAAGGGUACUAAAGAUAUUGGCAAAAUUCAACUGGCUACCAUUGCAAAAAUGGUUUAUAGAAUCAGGCCAUGCCAUUUAUUGCCUGAGCAAUCUUGAACCAGAUACUUAAGCUUUCUGUGCCUUGGUUUCCUCCUCUGCAAAUGGGGAUAACGAUGGUACCUACCUCAUACUUGUUGGGAUGAUUAAGUAAAAAAAAAAAAUGUGUAUAAAGUGCUUAACUGGCACAUGUUAAAUGCUCAAUAAAUGGUGGGUCAGUGUGACCAUCAUUAUUGUUAUUAUGAGUUGGUUAAAAAGGUCAUGGGAGCAGAGAAUAGAAAGCUGAAGUACAAGGCAGCUUUGUGACACUGUCUUAAAAAGCUCCUACCACCUUGGAUUUUUCUACUAGGUGUUUGGCUUUGGUCAUAUUUCUCUCUAGAUGUCAGCAGUCCAUCACAAAAUGACUUACAAGGAUUCAGAGGAGAGACUCAGGGCAGAAAGGAGGAGAAGUAAGCAAAGUGGAGGGUUGGAGCUGAGAGGAGAGUACCCACAAGUCCCCCCUUCCAGUCUGGGAGGGCUGUCUCCCAGAGCUGGGCAGUCAGAUCUCCCUUGCCAAAGUGGGCACAUGAGGAAGCAAGUCUUCCAAUGGUGAGCAGAAGGCAAAGUCUCAUUAAACCUGAGGACGUAUGCUGAUGUUAAGGACCAUUAAACAUUAAAAUCACUAUUGGAUGUUUUAAAAAACAGACUUUACCUCCCUCUUCUUCUGGCUGAGGUCUUUCUUAACCUUCCUAUUUGAAUAUGCAUCUUGCCCAAGCUUUCUAUCCCUCUUUCCUGCUUUUUCUUCUUAGUAAUUAGCACACUGUAACAUACUAUAUUACUAAUUAUGUUCAUUGCUUGUCUCUCCAGUAGAUGCAAACUCAUAAGACCAGGCUAUUUUUGUGGUUGUUAUUGUUCCCUGCUGUCUUCUGAGGGCCUAGCACAGUGCUUAAUGAAUAUUAUAGCUAGUGUUCAAUAAAUAUUUGUUGAAUGAGACAAGAAAGGAAAAAUUUCACUUAUCUUAGGUGAGUGAACAGUGUAGUGGAUGAACAGAUGACCUCAGAAGGCAUGUCUGAAGAUUCUGUGAUUGUUUUGAUUACACAUAAAAAAUAAAGCACCAUUAACAACUUGAUUUUAAAAUUUCUACAUCCUCGGGGCACCUGAUUGGCUCAGCUGGUAGAGCAUGUGACUCGAUCUUGGGAGCCCCACGUUGGGAGCAGAGAUUACUUUAAAAAAAUUCUAGAUCCUUUUAAACUGUUGAGACAAUAAACACAUGAUAUUAGAAUCCUAUCCAUGAUGUGUAAGCUUGUAUGACUUUAUUCAACCAGAAUUUGGGCACUGGCAAAGCUUCUCAAAUUAUGAAAAUUAACACUUGUUAUUCAAAGAGGGGAUAGAGAUGGAGGAAAAAAUUCCAGAAGGCAAAAGUCCAAAACAAGAGUGGCUAAUAAUAGCCACCAUGUUGAGGCGCCUGGGUGGCUCAGUCAGUUAAGCAUCCCACUUCAGCUCAGGUCAUGAUCUCGCACUCCGUGAGUUCAAGCCCCGCGACGGGCUCUGGGCUGAUGGCUCAGAGCCUGGAACCUGCUUCCGAUUCUGUGUCUCCCGCUCUCUCUGACCCUCCCCCGUUCAUGCUCUGUCUCUCUCUGUCUCAAAAAUAAAUAAACGUUAAAAAAAUUAAAAAAAAAAUAAUAGCUACCAUGUUAAUUUGUGUCUCCUACAUUUCAAGGACUUUACAGCUUUUUUAUAAAAAUCCUUCCAAGAUAGUUCUUAUUAUACCUAUUUUCCAGAUGGGACAACUAGGGCCGUAUCCUUGCAAUUAAAUGGAGAUGGAAUUUGAAUCUUGCUUUGUCUUAAUUCAAAUUUAUACUUUCUCCAAAAUGUCAGAUUACCUUUGGGUACAGACUUCAACCUGUUCCCUCCAGAACUGUGCAGGAGAUCUGUUAUUUUGAAGAGAUGGCAAGUUAGCACUCACUGGUCUCUGCUUUAUAACUGAAACGUUUGCAACCCCCGCUCCGAGCAGGUGUGCUGAGUUGCAGUUACCCUGUGAUGUUUGUGCCCAAACUGAAGAUCCCUAUCAAGGCAACGAGUAAAAUAUGAAUGUGAGAAGAAGCAGUGAUGGCCUUCUUCCUCUUUUUUAAACAAACUAGAAUUUCUGCAUCAGAAUGAAUGUUGCGCCCUUUGCAGGGGUCCCAUGGGAGUUUAUGCACUUGACCCAAAGACACUGCUCUUACAUCAUGUCUCAAGCUCCUCUUCUGGAUUUGCUCUGAACCCGAGGCACAUUCUUUUAAGUUUCUUCAAUGAUAGCAAAUCUUUGUCCUUUUCAGGUGGAUUUGAUUUUGGGAGACAGCCCUUUGGAGCUUCAGCCAGUGGAUAAGGUCCAUUAGUUUCUCCUAAAGGGAGGAAUUCCACUGAAAUCAAGCCCAUCAGCCUUCCACACUGACUAUGGGACCCACAACGGCUCUUUUGUGGGUACAUGUGACACGCCGACUGGAGAUGAUCUCUCAUGUCUAUAUAGGGUAUUGCUCUAACAUGGACUGGAGCCCCUCCCCUCCCCUCUCCCAGCUCCAUAUUUAGCCAUCUGCUGAAGGCUACGUGUGUCAUCAAAGUUUAUCAUCUGCCUUUACCGCUAUGGAGUAAUACAGAGGUUUACAUUCUUGUUUUCACCGAGGCAGUUCCCGAAGUAGCUGGGGUCCGUUAGAAACUGAAGCUGCUGUCUGCUGCCUUCUCCACUUCUUGGAGCAGAAGCCAAGAGAGAGCUGUUUGAAGACGCCACAUUCACACA
Neofelis nebulosa (Clouded leopard) is the source of this 10106-nucleotide RNA transcript. It is a transcript of the gene named NEDD4 binding protein 2, with no coding region annotated. The transcript has 20 exons. The record is from RefSeq and is a predicted model, not a curated record. Lineage: Eukaryota; Metazoa; Chordata; Mammalia; Carnivora; Felidae.